CUCUCAAACUGCCACGUGUUACCCAUUCCUGCGGUAGCACCACCAUGGCCACCACCAACCCCAGCACCACCAUCGCCCACACUAGGAAAAGGCCACACCCCUCUCCCAAGCCCACAGCCCAUGUCCUCAAACCCAGACCCUAGACCAAGCCCAAAUCCUCCAAGCGCCAAAAAUCCAGGCCCCUGAGUAUUCAACAAAGAAGUAAAGCUCCCGCACACUGUAGAACCACCUGUGGUGCUGCUCCCGCUAUCCUUCCCAUGGCCACCGCCGCCACCACAGCCAAACUGCACGGACGUUCCUUGAUUGGUCAUGAGUGGCACCAGUACAGGGGUAGCGGGAAAUGAGAAAUUAUCAGCUGCUGUGGCGGUGAUUGUAGCAGCAGUACGUGACCGCUUGGCAUUCUUGCGGGUGCCGCCACCAACAGGGAUGUCACGUAGGGUGCCACCAUGGGUCCAAUAACGGCGGCAAGACUUACA
RNAcentral lists this unclassified non-coding RNA (476 nucleotides) under Hevea brasiliensis (rubber tree). Lineage: Eukaryota; Viridiplantae; Streptophyta; Magnoliopsida; Malpighiales; Euphorbiaceae. The record is from RNAcentral.